ACCAUCGAGUCUUUGAACGCAAGUUGCGCCCCAAGCCAUUAGGCCGAGGGCACGUCUGUCUGGGUGUCA
This 69-nucleotide ribosomal RNA is filed under the name Gossypium arboreum. RNAcentral describes it as "5.8S ribosomal RNA". It matches the Rfam family "5.8S ribosomal RNA", at positions 88 to 154 of the family's 154-position model. From Rfam's summary of the family: 5.8S ribosomal RNA (5.8S rRNA) is a component of the large subunit of the eukaryotic ribosome. It is transcribed by RNA polymerase I as part of the 45S precursor that also contains 18S and 28S rRNA. Lineage: Eukaryota; Viridiplantae; Streptophyta; Magnoliopsida; Malvales; Malvaceae. The record is from Rfam by way of RNAcentral.